This 245-nucleotide long non-coding RNA is filed under the name Nicotiana benthamiana. RNAcentral describes it as "long non-coding RNA (NBEN_LNC017313)". The record is from RNAcentral. Lineage: Eukaryota; Viridiplantae; Streptophyta; Magnoliopsida; Solanales; Solanaceae.
UGCAAUCCAGUUUUGUGAUUCCCUGAACUUUUUCCCAUUUUUCUUUCUUUCAUUAGAGUUUUGUUUAAAGAGUUUCUAUUUUGGAAUUCCUGGUUUGGUUUUGGUUCACAAAAGCUGAAACAUGGUUUGAAUUAGAAGUUGUUGUGUGAUUCCAUUUACUGCUGGUCUAUUGCUGCUGCGUUCAUCCUAACCUCAAGCUUAUUUUCUUUCUUACUCUUGCUUUAAUCAAGUACCAUUUUUUACUG